This 336-nucleotide unclassified non-coding RNA is filed under the name soil metagenome. RNAcentral describes it as "partial contains 5.8S ribosomal RNA, internal transcribed spacer 2, and large subunit ribosomal RNA". The stretch from base 1 to 120 matches the Rfam family "5.8S ribosomal RNA", at positions 35 to 154 of the family's 154-position model. The record is from RNAcentral.
GAUGAAGAACGUAGCGAAAUGCGAUAGGUAAUGUGAAUUGCAGAAUUCAGUGAAUCAUCGAAUCUUUGAACGCACAUUGCGCCCGCCAGUAUUCUGGCGGGCAUGCCUGUUCGAGCGUCAUUUCAACCAUCAAGCCCCAGGCUUGUGUUGGGGACCUGCGGCUGCCGCAGGCCCUGAAAACCAGUGGCGGGCUCGCUGUCACACCGGGCGUAGUAGAUUUUAUCUCGCUCAGGGCGUGCUGCGGGUUCCGGCCGUUAAAAAGCCUUUUUUACCCAAGGUUGACCUCGGAUCAGGUAGGAAGACCCGCUGAACUUAAGCAUAUCAAUAAGCGGAGGA